This 433-nucleotide ribosomal RNA is filed under the name uncultured bacterium. RNAcentral's name for it is "partial 16S ribosomal RNA". It matches the Rfam family "Bacterial small subunit ribosomal RNA", at positions 29 to 507 of the family's 1533-position model. The record is from RNAcentral.
AACGAACGCUGGCGGCAGGCUUAACACAUGCAAGUCGAGCGAGACCUUCGGGUCUAGCGGCGGACGGGGGAGUAACGCGUGGGAACGUGCCCUUCUCUACGGCAUAGCCCCGGGAAACUGGGAGUAAUACCGUAUACGCCCUUUGGGGGAAAGAUUUAUCGGAGUAGGUUCGGCCCUCGUUGGAUUAGGUAGUUGGUGGGGUAAUGGCCCACCAAGCCGACGAUCCAUAGCUGGUUUGAGAGGAUGAUCAGCCACACUUGGACUUGGACACGGCCCAGACUCCUACGGGAGGCAGCAGUGGGGAAUCGUAGACAACGGCGGCAACCCUGAUCUAGCCAUGCCGGGUGAGUGAUGAAGGCCUUAGAGUUGUAAAGCUCUUGCAGCUGGGAAGAUAAUGACGGUACCAGCAGAAGAAGCCCCGGCUAACUCCGUG